Molecule: ribosomal RNA, 497 nt
Filed under: uncultured bacterium
Lineage: Bacteria
Description: partial 16S ribosomal RNA
Rfam family: Bacterial small subunit ribosomal RNA
Source: RNAcentral
GAUGAACGCUGGCGGCGUGCCUAAUACAUGCAAGUCGAGCGAACGGACGAGAAGCUUGCUUCUCUGACGUUAGCGGCGGACGGGUGAGUAACACGUGGAUAACCUACCUAUAAGACUGGGAUAACUUCGGGAAACCGGAGCUAAUACCGGAUAAUAUAUUGAACCGCAUGGUUCAAUAGUGAAAGACGGUUUUGCUGUCACUUAUAGAUGGAUCCGCGCCGCAUUAGCUAGUUGGUAAGGUAACGGCUUACCAAGGCAACGAUGCAUAGCCGACCUGAGAGGGUGAUCGGCCACACUGGAACUGAGACACGGUCCAGACUCCUACGGGAGGCAGCAGUAGGGAAUCUUCCGCAAUGGGCGAAAGCCUGACGGAGCAACGCCGCGUGAGUGAUGAAGGUCUUCGGAUCGUAAAACUCUGUUAUUAGGGAAGAACAUAUGUGUAAGUAACUAUGCACGUCUUGACGGUACCUAAUCAGAAAGCCACGGCUAACUACGUG